This 429-nucleotide ribosomal RNA is filed under the name Actinomycetes bacterium. Its description in RNAcentral is "Actinobacteria bacterium partial 16S ribosomal RNA". It matches the Rfam family "Bacterial small subunit ribosomal RNA", at positions 355 to 776 of the family's 1533-position model. Lineage: Bacteria; Bacillati; Actinomycetota; Actinomycetes. The record is from RNAcentral.
UAGGGAAUCUUCCGCAAUGGGCGAAAGCUUGACGGAGCAACGCCGCGUGAGUGAUGAAGGUCUUCGGAUCGUAAAACUCUGUUAUUAGGGAAGAACAAAUGUGUAAGUAACUAUGCACGUCUUGACGGUACCUAAUCAGAAAGCCACGGCUAACUACGUGCCAGCAGCCGCGGUAAUACGUAGGUGGCAAGCGUUAUCCGGAAUUAUUGGGCGUAAAGCGCGCGUAUGCGGUUUUUUAAGUCUGAUGUGAAAGCCCACGGCUCAACCGUGGAGGGUCAUUGGAAACUGGAAAACUUGAGUGCAGAAGAGGAAAGUGGAAUUCCAUGUGUAGCGGUGAAAUGCGCAGAGAUAUGGAGGAACACCAGUGGCGAAGGCGACUUUCUGGUCUGUAACUGACGCUGAUGUGCGAAAGCGUGGGGAUCAAACAGG